Molecule: ribosomal RNA, 424 nt
Filed under: uncultured bacterium
Lineage: Bacteria
Description: bacterial SSU rRNA
Rfam family: Bacterial small subunit ribosomal RNA
Source: RNAcentral
AGAGUUUGAUCCUGGCUCAGAUUGAACGCUGGCGGCGUGCUUAACACAUGCAAGUCGUGCGAGAAAGGGGACUUCGGUCCCUGAGUAGAGCGGCGCACGGGUGAGUAACGCGUGGAUGAUCUACCCAGAUAUUCGGGAUAACGGCGGGAAACUGCCGCUAAUACCGGAUACGCUCCAAUUUCGGUUGGGGGAAAGGCGGCCUCUGCUUGCAAGCUGUCGUAUCUGGAUGAGUCCGCGUCCCAUUAGCUUGUUGGUGGGGUAAUGGCCUACCAAGGCGACGAUGGGUAGCUGGUCUGAGAGGAUGAUCAGCCACACUGGAACUGAAACACGGUCCAGACUCCUACGGGAGGCAGCAGUGGGGAAUAUUGCGCAAUGGGGGAAACCCUGACGCAGCGACGCCGUGUGAGGGAAGAAGGCUUUCGGG